UACGUAGGUGGCAAGCGUUGUCCGGAUUUACUGGGCGUAAAGAGCGCGCAGGCGGCUGGUCAAGUCCGAUGUGAAAUCUCCCGGCUCAACUGGGAAACUGCAUCGGAAACUGAUCAGCUUGAAGGUGGGAGAGGGUAGUGGAAUUCCCGGUGUAGUGGUGAAAUGCGUAGAUAUCGGGAGGAGCACCAGUGGCGAAGGCGACUACCUGGCCCACUCUUGACGCUGAGGCGCGAAAGCUAGGGGAGCGAACGGGAUUAGAUACCCCCGUAGUCC
RNAcentral lists this ribosomal RNA (273 nucleotides) under uncultured bacterium. RNAcentral's name for it is "partial 16S ribosomal RNA". It matches the Rfam family "Bacterial small subunit ribosomal RNA", at positions 524 to 796 of the family's 1533-position model. The record is from RNAcentral.